GAUUAUUGGGCGUAAAGAGCUCGUAGGCGGUUUGUCGCGUCUGCUGUGAAAACUGGAGGCUCAACCUCCAGCCUGCAGUGGGUACGGGCAGACUAGAGUGCGGUAGGGGAGAUUGGAAUUCCUGGUGUAGCGGUGGAAUGCGCAGAUAUCAGGAGGAACACCGAUGGCGAAGGCAGAUCUCUGGGCCGUAACUGACGCUGAGGAGCGAAAGCAUGGGGAGCGAACAGGAUUAGAUACCCUGGUAGUCCAUGCCGUAAACGUUGGGAACUAGAUGUAGGGACCAUUCCACGGUUUCUGUGUCGCAGCUAACGCAUUAAGUUCCCCGCCUGGGGAGUACGGCCGCAAGGCUAAAACUCAAAGGAAUUGACGGGGGCCCGCACAAGCGGCGGAGCAUGCGGAUUAAUUCGAUGCAACGCGAAGAACCUUACCAAGACUUGACAUAUACGAGAACGGGCUAGAAAUAGUUCACUCUUUGGACACUCGUAAACAGGUGGUGCAUGGUUGUCGUCAGCUCGUGUCGUGAGAUGUUGGGUUAAGUCCCGCAACGAGCGCAACCCUCGUUCUUUGUUGCCAGCACGUUAUGGUGGGAACUCAAAGGAGACUGCCGGGGUCAACUCGGAGGAAGGUGGGGAUGACGUCAAAUCAUCAUGCCCCUUAUGUCUUGGGCUUCACGCAUGCUACAAUGGCCGAUACAAAGGGCUGCGAUACCGCAAGGUGGAGCGAAUCCCAAAAAGUCGGUCUCAGUUCGGAUUGAGGUCUGCAACUCGACCUCAUGAAGUCGGAGUCGCUAGUAAUCGCAGAUCAGCAACGCUGCGGUGAAUACGUUCCCGGGCCUUGUACACACCGCCCGUCAAGUCAUGAAAGUCGGUAACACCCGAAGCCAGUGGCCUAACCCGCAAGGGGAGGAGCUGUCGAA
RNAcentral lists this ribosomal RNA (916 nucleotides) under Leifsonia sp. DAB_ST85. RNAcentral describes it as "bacterial SSU rRNA". It matches the Rfam family "Bacterial small subunit ribosomal RNA", at positions 547 to 1460 of the family's 1533-position model. The record is from RNAcentral. Lineage: Bacteria; Bacillati; Actinomycetota; Actinomycetes; Micrococcales; Microbacteriaceae.